Plenodomus tracheiphilus IPT5 is the source of this 68-nucleotide non-coding RNA. The record is from the annotation of a GenBank genome assembly. NCBI's taxonomy places the organism in Eukaryota, Fungi, Ascomycota, Dothideomycetes, Pleosporales, Leptosphaeriaceae.
GGUCCGAUGGUGCAGUGGCAGCACUCCAGCUUUGGCUGGCGACGCGUGUUCGAUUCUCGCUCUGACCA